Molecule: ribosomal RNA, 403 nt
Filed under: uncultured bacterium
Lineage: Bacteria
Description: partial 16S ribosomal RNA
Rfam family: Bacterial small subunit ribosomal RNA
Source: RNAcentral
AUUGAACGCUGGCGGCAGGCCUAACACAUGCAAGUCGAGCGAGCGGCGGACGGGUGAGUAAUGUAUGGGGACUGCCCGCUAGAGGGGGAUAACUACUGGAAACGAUAGCUAAUACCGCAUACUAUCGGAUACCCCCUAUUGGAUUAGCUAGUAGGUGAGGUAAUGGCUCACCUAGGCGCCGAUCCCUAGCUGGUCUGAGAGGAUGAUCAGCCACACGGGGACUGAGACACGGCCCAGACUCCUACGGAGGCAGAAGUGGGGAAUAUUGCACAAUGGGCGCAAGCCUGAUGCAGCAAAGCCGCGUGUAUGAAGAAGGCCCUAGGUGUGUAAAGUACUGUCAGUCGGGAGGCGUUACCUACAGAAGAAGCACCGGCUAACUCCGUGCCAGCGGCCGCGGUAAUUC